Molecule: non-coding RNA, 660 nt
Organism: Salvia hispanica
Lineage: Eukaryota; Viridiplantae; Streptophyta; Magnoliopsida; Lamiales; Lamiaceae
Source: RefSeq, a predicted model, not a curated record
UUGGCUUAGUUAGUCCAUCCAAGAUUGAAGAAAGAGCCUCAAUUUCCCAAAAGAGAAUUAGUUGUUCUCUUCCUCUCCCACAAUCAGAAAACUCCAAAAUUUUCUUCUUUUUCUUCUUCCUCCCUCAAACAACCGUGGAGUCUCUCUCUCGCUAGAACAGCGCCACCUCCACUCCUCUGUCGUUAAAAUUUUCACCGCCCACUCACCGUGAGACCACCGCCGCUGCUGCCUCUUUGCCGAUCACAGCACGGCCGUCGUCGGUGUACAACAGCCGCACCUCUCGAGCCUACGCAGCGCCGUCACGCCGUCUCACAGUAUGAGCUGCUGCCGGUGACCGCGACCUGCUACUGCCAGCGCCACCGUCUUGUCAGAAUGCAGCGCUGCUACUGUCAGCCUGUCAGGGUGCAGUUGCCGUCGUCUCCGGCUGCCUCCGGAGUAGCCAGCAGCCCAGUUCUCCGCCUCAGCUGCGCGGAAGUCCGCCGCUGUGUCGAGGUCAGUCACGAAUUGCUGCUCAUUUAAUCCGGAAUUGAUGGAGGAAUAAAAGCAGGUUAAAUUCUGCAAAGUAACGGAUGAAGUGUAGGAGCACAUUUGUUAAGAAGGAGAAUAAAUCUGUUGGACAUUUUGGGUUCAAAGAAGAAUUUUGUGAUUGGGCUUACAAAA